CCGGAAUGGGAAGCUCGGAGAAGUGCUUAAAGUAGAUCCUCGGGAUAGCUUGGAAUCCCGGGGGCGGCAGAUUUAUCGGCUGGUACCUCGACACCCAGAAUCGGAGGUGACCAGAAAUUUGAAUCCCCGACAACAAUGUUCGAGCAUCGCUCGCAUUCAGAUUGGAGGGGGGAUUCACUCCAUCAGACCCGUCCAAGGUUGCAUGGGUCAUCACUUGUUCGUAUUCGCCGUCUCCAGAACGGCCGACAGGUAGCAAC
RNAcentral lists this long non-coding RNA (257 nucleotides) under Zostera marina. RNAcentral describes it as "long non-coding RNA (ZMAR_LNC005547)". Lineage: Eukaryota; Viridiplantae; Streptophyta; Magnoliopsida; Alismatales; Zosteraceae. The record is from RNAcentral.